UUAGAAUCAGCUGUGCCUUCCUAGUGUUUGCCUUUCCUUGUUUUCCUCCGUGUGUGUAUAUAUAAUGUGUGGUUGCAUGUGCUCUUUGUCAGUCCAUCUGUGUUUCCUGGUGACUCUCUUUGUUUCUCUGUUCAUCAUCCUGGAUUUCUCCCUGCAAGUUAUGGUUUGAGGUACUGGAGGUCAAACACAGACUGAGUAUGAACCAGUGGUUAAAAGGCCUGCAGAUUUUUACAUAAAUGUUGCCAAAUAUAACACAAGGACUACAUGGUUGAUUUACACAACUGUAGACUGAGCAAAGAGACACGACUUUUACAAUGAGCUGUCCUGAGAUUACCUUUGUUUUUCUGAUAGUGUCUGUUUACUGGGCUGGUACUGACAGUGAAACACUGACUGAGUCUGAAUCCGUGAUUAAAAGGCCUGGAUACUCCCACAGACUGACCUGUACAUACUCAGGGUUCAGUGGGGAUGAUCAUUAUGUUUGGAUCCGACAGGCUGCUGGAGAAGGACUGGAAUGGAUCAUUUAUAUCAGUGGUGGCAGCAGCUAUAUCCACUACUCUCAGUCAUUCAGAGGCCAAUUUACCAUCUCCAUAGACGACAACAGAAAGCAGGUGUAUCUGCAGAUGAACAGCUUGACGACUGAUUCACCACAUCAAACCAAGCCAUAAUUUGCUUUCAGCUCUUCAGAAAUGAACUGAAUAUUAAUGUCUGACCAUCAGACAGAGUACAGACAAAGGACUGGAGUGUAUUGGGAGGAAAAGUAGUGGGAGCUCUCACUAUAAAGACUCACUGAAGAUAAAGGUCAGCAAUG
Molecule: long non-coding RNA, 808 nt
Organism: Oreochromis niloticus (Nile tilapia)
Lineage: Eukaryota; Metazoa; Chordata; Actinopteri; Cichliformes; Cichlidae
Exons: 3
Source: RefSeq, a predicted model, not a curated record